Molecule: long non-coding RNA, 3466 nt
Filed under: Homo sapiens (human)
Lineage: Eukaryota; Metazoa; Chordata; Mammalia; Primates; Hominidae
Description: HSALNT0379291
Rfam family: Small nucleolar RNA SNORD113/SNORD114 family (bases 2195-2272)
Source: RNAcentral
ACCAGUGAUGGAAAUGUGUUCCGAAAAUAUGUUUAAUAUAAUUUGGCACAACUGAAGUGAUAAAAAUAUAGUAGUUAGACCAUUUAUAUUCACAAUUAUUUAACAUUGUAUCUUAUUUUCUACCUCAAAUGAUUUAAUCUUUUCCAUAUUGGUAUGGUCCUGGCCGAUAACUCUUUGUGUGGCAGCCUGAGAGAAUAUGGAAGACACUGUCAGUGUUGGAAGAUGGUGGUUUUAUCACUUUUCAUUGCACUGUCUUUAAAACAUGGGCAAAUUGACUAAAAGAAGACUACAGAAGAAAUAAUGGUGAUUGUGAAUUUGGUAUGAAGCAUGGAUGUUAAUUAAUCACACAUGUUCUCUGAGGUCCAUUGUAAAAGGAGACCUAGUCUUCAGGGAGAGAGCCACUAAUGGGGAGAUCUUAUUCCUAGAAUUUUGUGGUUAUAUUAUUAUUCAUGAACCAAUGAAUAAUAAAUGAAUGAUAUAAAGGAAGAAAAACGUGCUUGGACCAAUGAUGAGUACCAUGGGGUAUCUGAAACAGGAUUUUUGAUUAAACCCAUAUGCAAUUCUGAGGUCCAUUACAAAGAGACACGUAUUAUUCCUUUUUUGGGAAGUGAGCCUAUGGUACCUUUUCCUUGGACUUUGUGGUUCUUGGGGAUGGAUUGCAUUUUUGUUAUAAAAUCAGCCCAUGAAUUAAAAAUUUAUCAAUGAGUAAAACAUAAAGCAUAAGUCAUGUACUUAUUAUCAGUGACUGUAAUGAAACAUGGAUUAUUAUUAAAACUUAUCUGAGACUCCCAAUAAAUUAAUACCCAAGGCUUCUACCAUUCUGGUAAGGAGCAUAUGGUCAUUUGUAUGCAAGAGUCAGUUUUUGUUCUGUGUUGGUGGUGGGUUGCUGACUAUUUUAUGAAGAAAAUGAAGCAUCUUUAAUCAUAUAAAUAGUUGGUUAAAUAACCACUUAAUUGAGACCAAGCAGAGACCAAUGAUGAGUGUAUUAAUCUAUUUUUUAAUGGAUUUUUAUUAAACAAAUAAUAAAAGAAACACAGUCUAUUCUUCCUGAGGGCAAUAACUCUAGACAGAUGUAAAUAUUCUUCAGUGUUCUUGUCCAGUGCUGUGAGAUCACAGAUACUGAUGUCUUUUGUAUAUGAGAAGGAACUUGCAUUUUUAUGUCUCAGUUUAUAUUUUAGAGUCAGCAAACCAUGGACCAAUUAGGAACAAAUGUUAUGAUAUGAGAAUGCUGAUUCUUGUUUUUUUUUUUCAUGAUAGACAUUCUAAGAAAAACUCUAGGCUCUCUCAUUGUUUUUGGAAUACAUACAUGGUUCUUUCCAAGUAGUUUCUUAGAAAAAUGUUUUUAAAAAGAGGCUUUUAAAAAGAGCCUUUUAAAAUGUUUUUAAAAGAAGGCUUUAUUUUUCUCUAUAGAAUGAAAACCAUGUAGCUGGUCUUAUUAUUCUCUAAUCAUGAAGACCAUUAUUGUUAUUUGUGGACUAAGGAGCAGAAAGACUGAUGUAAGUAAACAUCAAAUUGAUGUUUUGGGCUUGGACUGUAUUCAUUCAUGGGAACCCACUACAUUAUUUUGAUAAAAUAAAUGGUUAAAUAACACAUGAAAUUAAGGAAUGCCAGUCAUGGACCUAUGAUUGUAAUGUGUCAUCAACAAAAUUUUAUGAUUAAUUCAACCCAACCCAACUGAAGACCAUUGUUAAAUAAAGGAAGAGCAUUUCAUAUAUUGUCAUAGUAAUUUAAAUUCCCAUUUAAUGUUUUUGCUAUAGUUGCUUAACAUAUUCCUUCACGGACAGACAUUGAAGUUGUUGAGUUUUUGAGGUAGAGGUACCUUGGGAGAUAUUAUAUAUUAAUUUGCUUAAUUGUGGGCUCACAUGGUAGAUCCAUGGUUUGCAAUCACAUUAAUGAGUAGACAAAUCAAGUGGAAGGGAAGCUGGUAGACACCAAUCAUAAGUAUGAGAUUUAAAUGCAGCAGAGUCGCUGAUGAAUCUCUAUGUGUAAACUUGAGGUUGAUCACAAAAUAUGAUCUAGUCUAUUUGUUCUGCAUGAAAGAGAGUAAUGAACAGAUCUUGGUUCUAUUAAAGACUUCUGUUCUCAGUUUUGUGUCAUUAAGGGAUAUUGAUCAUAUAAUUAUUAUUCCUGAAACCAUGAAUGACUGAGUCAGUUCAACAAGGUAUAAAUGAAUGAAGAAAUAGAAUGCCUAGCCUGGAUCAAUGAUGAGUAUUGGUGGAGGUGUCUGAAUCAACACUUUUGAUUAAGCCCUCUGUGUAACUCUGAGAUCUGUUAUUGAAUGAGAACCAGCCUAUAUUCUCUGUAGAAAUUACCUAAUAGAAGUUAGGAAAAUUCAAUAAAACUUGUUCCUGAACUUUUGUAGUUCAAAGAUAUGGAAUGUAUUAUUUUAAGUGAAUUCAAUGCGUAAAUAGAGAAAUGUGUAUACAUGAGAGAAGAUUAACAGUCCUACUUAUGGAACUAUUCUUUGAGUACAAUGAAAAAGUAUUAUAAAUAUUAACACUGGCAAUAAAACAAGUAUAAUUAUUAAUCUGAGGUAAAAUCCUAUUAUACAGAACAUAUUGUAUCUGCAGUUGAGACAAUUUUUUUGGUUUUAUAGUUUGCUUUUUUUUUAAUUAAGAAAAGGGAAAGUGUUUGCAUCAGCCAGAAAUCCAUUAAGUAAUAUCUACUUAACAGAUUUUUAUAUAGACAAAUAUUCAUAAUCAUUACAGAUCUUAUUCUUGGGCUAGGUGACGCAUUAGUGUCUAUUAUACUAUUUAAAACUAAAAGUUCAAUACUGGCCUGAAAAAAUUGCAUUUUUGAGCCAAGGUUUAUUGUUAUCUAGUUCUGCUUGACUAACAUCCAUUGAGAAAACCGUAUAUCUAUUCUAAAUCUGCCUUUUUCCCUCCAGAGUGGACAUAGGCCAGCUGAUUUAAUAAUUUAAGAAAGAACUGUUAUCCUGAGUAAGGAGCAUAGAGACAAAUAUAAAAUGAACGCACUCUACCUGAUUUAAUUAUAGUCUUCUGGUGAAGAUCUUGCUGUUAUCUCUGUGAAUCAGGAGAGAAGAGAUUGAUGAAUAGACGAGAUUGGAUUUGGUCAUUUCCCCAAGGUGAAGAGCAUGGCGAUUUCUUCUGUGGUAAGGAGCAAUAAUGAAGACCAUGGUUGAUUUAAUCAGUCUCUGCUGAUGAAGAUCUUGGCUGUUACCUUUGUGUGUAAGGAAGCUAAAGACUUAAGUAAAUAACAGUCCAAAAACUUGUCAAUUAGGGUAAAUUUUUCAUUAAUGUUCACUGAAUUAUUUAAAGUUAAGGCAUAUGUAGAUCAAUGAGAUGAAUGUGUUAUGAAACUUAGAUUGUGGUUAGUCCAAUUAAGCACAAUUUUGGUUAAAAAUAAGAUGAAAGACAUUUUAUUCAUUUUUUUAUCUGAUUAAUAAUUCAUCUUAUUUUGUACUGCAUUUAAUUUAAGAUUUAUUCACUAAUAAAAUCUAUGGCUG